RNAcentral lists this ribosomal RNA (490 nucleotides) under uncultured Legionellales bacterium. RNAcentral describes it as "bacterial SSU rRNA". It matches the Rfam family "Bacterial small subunit ribosomal RNA", at positions 523 to 1012 of the family's 1533-position model. Lineage: Bacteria; Pseudomonadati; Pseudomonadota; Gammaproteobacteria; Legionellales. The record is from RNAcentral.
AUACGGAGGGUGCAAGCGUUAAUCGGAAUUAUUGGGCGUAAAGGGUGCGUAGGUGGUAUAGUAAGUUAUCUGUGAAAGUCCUGGGCUCAACCUGGGGAUGCCAGGUAAUACUGUUAUACUUGAGUAUAGGAGAGGGCAGUGGAAUUUCCGGUGUAGCGGUGAAAUGCGUAGAUAUCGGAAGGAACACUGGUGGCGAAGGCGACUGCCUGGCCUAAUACUGACACUGAGGCACGAAAGCGUGGGUAGCAAACAGGAUUAGAUACCCUGGUAGUCCAUGCUGUAAACGCUGUCAACUAGCCGUUGGUCAUAUAGAGAUGAUAAGUGGCGCAGCUAACGCGAUAAGUUGACCGCCUGGGGAGUACGGUCGCAAGAUUAAAACUCAAAGGAAUUGACGGGGCCCGCACAAGCGGUGGAGCAUAUGGUUUAAUUCGAAGCAACGCGCAGAACCUUACCAACCCUUGACAUCCUAGGACCACCCGAGAGAUCGGGC